CGGGAUCAACAUGCCGCAAGAAUUCGGAGAAC
This 32-nucleotide small RNA is filed under the name Arabidopsis thaliana (thale cress). RNAcentral describes it as "ATSL254840". Lineage: Eukaryota; Viridiplantae; Streptophyta; Magnoliopsida; Brassicales; Brassicaceae. The record is from RNAcentral.